RNAcentral lists this long non-coding RNA (836 nucleotides) under Triticum aestivum (bread wheat). RNAcentral's name for it is "long non-coding RNA (TAES_LNC026813)". Lineage: Eukaryota; Viridiplantae; Streptophyta; Magnoliopsida; Poales; Poaceae. The record is from RNAcentral.
UUGAGAUAAUUGUAACUGCAUCCAAUCUGAAAUACAUACAGUUGCGACCACAGAAUAUUCCAAGAAUUAAGUCAAUACACUGUGCCACAGUUAAAGAAAAGGAUUACCAGUACAAGAAUAACUCACAUUUUGUAACCUGGUAUAAGAAGACCAUGUGGUAAAAUGAUAAGAGAAAAAACAAGAACCCUUAUAGUUUCCUUGGAAACAAAUAUAUCUUGUGUAGAACUUCAUCACAUGGUCUAUCUUUUCUCAUAAAGUUGGUGAUAGGCACACAUACAAUAUGUUUGGCGACAACUACUUUCACUAAAAGUAGUUUAUCCUACAAGAGAGGAUAAUCGCAUGAUGAGAGGUUACAAUCAUCUAUCCUGCAAAAAAAAAGAGAGGUUACAAUCGGUUCAUAGCCCAUCUUUGUGGUCAAGCAAGUUAUGCUACAGAACUGCACAAAGUAUUCUUGAAUUUGGUGUUACAAUAUACUAUAUAUCAUCCAAAAUACUUUGACUAAAAACAAGCCAGUGCAAUUCGUUAACUUGAAACAUCAUAAUAUGCAAUUUCAUGUUUCAAACGAACAUAUUAACAUAAUCGAACCCAUUAGCAAGGCUCCAGCAACUUGAUUGAACAGAAAAAAAGUAGUAAAAUACAUUUGUUUAGAAGGUUCAUCAUCCUUCUAAGGUAUUGGCAAUGGCAGCAUCUUCUAUUCGCUCCUGGUAUAUGGUUGCUCUGUAAGAUUGAUAGAAUCAAAGUCAAUUGUAUGGAUCCAAGAGAUUAUGAUUACUCUAUAUGCAUUUAGGAAAAUAUUACCACCACAAACAAGGGCCAGGUCCUCGUCAUCCCCCUCC